GGUGCUGCAUAUCUAACCUCAAAGUAUCAGGCCCAAAAGAGAACACUAAGGAGAGAGGGUUAGAGAAAUGUAGGGAGAGGAUGGAGAUGAAGGGGGAAGUCAGGGCUCAGGGGUUGGCAGAACUAGUGUUAUGGAGUUGUCUGAAGGAUGGAACCUCACAGUCAAAGCAAAGCUCCCGUCCCACAGCAGUGUGAGCUUCCCUAUUGGUGUCUCUCCUGUCACCUGGAAGAGGGAUGGACCCCUGAACAGGGUCCAAGGCAAUGGAUGACUUUACAGGGCGAGUUCGUUUUAGAUUCCCGGAGCCCACAAAAAUCAAUAGCUUUCCAUUAUCGGGUGCGGCUGGGUCACUGGUCUGUCAAUGAGCUGUGACAAUUGCUGUGCCAGGGUGAACCUGACCAGUCAGUUGCUGCUGACAAGAGGCAAACAUGCUGACAGCUUUGCACUUCGGCUUGCCGUCCAGAGAGGCUCAGAGGAAGGCCUGUUCCCAGAUGUAGGGCACGCGCCGUGGCAGGGCAGGGCUGGGCCCUGCCCCCGCUCUCUCAGCAGGGCGUUGGGGGCCCUGUGCGCACAGACACAGCCUGGAGACGACGGCCACCUUCCAGGAGCAGAGCGUGCCUCGCUGGGGCAGGGCCUUCCGCCGCCCCUGGCUCCUUGGGGCGCAGCCGCGCUCCCCACCUGGCCACGCGGAUUCCCUGCCAGAGCGCGGCCGCGGUGUCGCGCCAGCGGAGCGAGGCCCUGGCCUGCCGCUGGGCUGAGCCCCGCUCUUGCGGGUCUCGGGCUUCCGGCGGAACUCCGGUCAGACACCGACCUGGGAAGCGGAACGAAAAGCAACAGUUAGCAAUUAACCCCCUAUUAGGGGUUUUAAUUUGCACUGACUACUUUCAAGUCUUAAACGCUGGCCUCUUCCUUUGUGCCUCCAGCCCUCCGUUUGAUUCGCGCAGAAGGCCGGAGUCACUUGCGUCCCCCCUCAUGAAACAGAAAAACUGGCGAUCAACUUUAUCACUGGGAGCCAACUCGCUGGGUUUUAAAAAAUACACUGUGCCCCAGACCGAUCACUUUCUUUAAACGAGAGCAGAAGGGAGGGGUUUGGAAGGGAGAAGAAUAAACCCUCCUUGGCUGGUAAUUAGAAGCACCGGGCUUAUGACUUGCAGCACUUGGUAGCUGGAAACGCGUCCGUUCUCUUGUAGCAUUAAUUAAAAAGAAUGGGUGUGUUUUUAAUAAAAUGCUUCAUGUUUCAGCCUCCUUUCUUCCUCUUACCAACUGUGAUGGGGGGGCUGAAGGGAAUUCAGGUUAAUAGGUUGACACACUUAACAAUGCGGGGUCAUGUUGCACAAUACGCUUGACUGGUUUGGUUCAGUACAGCCUCUGACAGGUCCUAAUCAGCCACUGCCCUAAAGGCAGAGGCAAAGAGCGGCUUUUAAUUACUGCUCCUUACCCGAGUUUGCCAGCAUUAAAUUGAGACAUAAUGAGGCCUCCGAAUUUUGAUAAUUGUCCUAGCUAAUUGGGCAGACAAGUGCGUUCUGCCGCGUGACGUGAUCAGAUAAUUAGUAUUUCCGAACGACACAAUUGGGCUCUUGAUUACGAAUUCCGGAUGCAAGGGGAAAGGUAGCGCGCGGAUCUUUACGAGUCUAUUAGGGAGAGUUUAGCGCUGCUGGUAAUUUGAAGUCCAUUAAGAAGCUAAAUUCCACCUCCGGUGAGCCACUCCGGCCUGAGACGGCCUCUGCCUCCGUGUCUGCGCCGCCGCCUGGUUUGGACAUGGCAGCCCCCUGCCCCAAGCAGCGCGGCUGGGGUCCCACUGAGCACGGGAAGCUGCUUUCCCGGUGCCUGCCGUUGCUGAGGGCGGCCGCCUCCCGUGUACGCUGCGUCUGCCCUCCAGGGGUCCCGGCGGCCGGCGCUGCUGUGGCUGCAGCCCAGGCCCCUGGCUGAAGUGCUACUUGGAAGUAUACGUAUGCUAAUGAGGUGCAGCUCCCCAGUCGGAGAGCCCUGGCUGAGGCUGCUCGCGGCUCCUCGGCCUAGGCCGUUAUUCCCCACUGAUUACUCGCUUAAGAACGUCUUCAGAAAAAAAGCUCUAGGUGUGACAGAGAGCUGGUCACCCAGCAGCUGCCCCUCAGCCCUCCAGGCGCAACCUGACCUCCUUUCUCAGGCCCCCCCUGCACCGCGGGGCUGCCAGCAGCACCACGAAAGGUGCAUUAUGGGGAAUGGGGGGGGGGGGGACCCGGCCUGCAGCUCUCAGGCGCGAAGGAGACGCUGGCGCCAGGCUCUAGCCCAGAUUCGAACGACUGACUCCUGCUGCGCUGAACCCGUCACGCCGGCGUAUGGACUUCGCAACGCGACGCCCAGCCCAGAGAGCCCCCUGCGCGGAGGCCUGCGUCCAUCUCCUGGGAGGGUCGCUCCAAAGGACACCCCGCGCCUGGUUCAGAGCGCUCCCUUGGGUUUCUAUGGGGCUUAUUUCAGAUUUAAAAA
This is a long non-coding RNA of Dermochelys coriacea (leatherback sea turtle), 2463 nucleotides long. RefSeq lists it as uncharacterized. The record is from RefSeq and is a predicted model, not a curated record. Lineage: Eukaryota; Metazoa; Chordata; Testudines; Dermochelyidae. The transcript has 3 exons.